This 480-nucleotide ribosomal RNA is filed under the name uncultured Streptococcus sp. RNAcentral describes it as "bacterial SSU rRNA". It matches the Rfam family "Bacterial small subunit ribosomal RNA", at positions 903 to 1382 of the family's 1533-position model. Lineage: Bacteria; Bacillati; Bacillota; Bacilli; Lactobacillales; Streptococcaceae. The record is from RNAcentral.
CUUAAAAGGAAUUGACGGGGCCGCACAAGCGGUGGAGCAUGUGGUUUAAUUCGACGCAACGCGAAGAACCUUACCAGGUCUUGACAUCCCGAUGCUAUUUCUAGAGAUAGAAAGUUACUUCGGUACAUCGGUGACAGGUGGUGCAUGGUUGUCGUCAGCUCGUGUCGUGAGAUGUUGGGUUAAGUCCCGCAACGAGCGCAACCCCUAUUGUUAGUUGCCAUCAUUCAGUUGGGCACUCCAGCGAGACUGCCGGUAAUAAACCGGAGGAAGGUGGGGAUGACGUCAAAUCAUCAUGCCCCUUAUGACCUGGGCUACACACGUGCUACAAUGGUUGGUACAACGAGUUGCGAGUCGGUGACGGCGAGCUAAUCUCUUAAAGCCAAUCUCAGUUCGGAUUGUAGGCUGCAACUCGCCUACAUGAAGUCGGAAUCGCUAGUAAUCGCGGAUCAGCACGCCGCGGUGAAUACGUUCCCGGGCCUU